UAUUAGUCUGUGUCAUUUCAAAACUUUUCAAAACCAAAACAAACAUUGUGCUCAUAACUGGAUUAUAUCUUUAUUUGUCUAAAUACGAGAUUUCAAAGCUCCAAAUGGCUUUAAGCGGUCAAGUGGACUUUAAAAAAAGUUGUACCCCUAAUCAACGGCAUUCUACUUGUCCUGUGUUUUAGUUUGUUUCCAAAACUAUCUCUAUCUAAAUGUCUCGCAACGCACUGCCUUCGUUGAGUCAGCUGGAAGAGCUAGUAAGCUUUUUGGAAAGCAAACCAUGUUUGAUUAUGAUGGGCCAUGCCAUGAUCGUACUGCAAAUGCAAGCAGUCAUCAGGCACGAUCCGAAAACAACAGCCCAAACAGUGAGUGACGUAGUGGGUGUAUGAAAAUAUUGGAGCAGUGGUGUAAGUAUUGGAAGGACAAAAAGGAGCAGUUCAGAGGAAGUCCAGUUCAAUUGCAGCUGCGAGGCAACAUGAAGAAUUUGCCAGAACUCGGUAUAAUUGAGUUAGAAAUACAUUCCAUUAUGCGAGGAGAAUGUUUUGGAAUCUGAAUUUAGGUAAAUAAAUCCAUGU
Molecule: long non-coding RNA, 572 nt
Organism: Helicoverpa zea (corn earworm)
Lineage: Eukaryota; Metazoa; Arthropoda; Insecta; Lepidoptera; Noctuidae
Exons: 3
Source: RefSeq, a predicted model, not a curated record